GAUGAACGCUGGCGGCGUGCCUAAUACAUGCAAGUCGAGCGAACAGAUGAGGAGCUUGCUCCUCUGACGUUAGCGGCGGACGGGUGAGUAACACGUGUAAAACCUACCUAUAAUACUGGGAUAACUUCGGGAAACCGGAGCAAAUCCCGUAUAAUAUAUUGAUCCGCAUUGUUGAUUAGAGAAAGACGGUUUUUCUGGCACUUAUAGCUGGAUCUCCGCCUCAUUAGCUAGUUGUGAAGUUAACGGCCUUUGAAGGCAACGAUGCGUAGACGAACGGAGAGACGGGUAGGCGACCCUAGAGCUGGACCACGGACAAGGGUACUAAGGGACGGAGCAGUAGGGAACGUUACGCAAUGGGCGGAAGCCUGGCGGAGCAGCGCCGCGUGAGUGAUGAAGGUCUUCGGAUCGUAAAACCCGGUUAUUAGGGAAGAACAAAUGUGUAAGUAACUAUGCACGUCUUGACGGUACCGAAUCAGAAAGCCACGGCUAACUACGUG
RNAcentral lists this ribosomal RNA (497 nucleotides) under uncultured bacterium. RNAcentral describes it as "partial 16S ribosomal RNA". It matches the Rfam family "Bacterial small subunit ribosomal RNA", at positions 28 to 507 of the family's 1533-position model. The record is from RNAcentral.